Molecule: RNA transcript, 1562 nt
Organism: Anguilla rostrata (American eel)
Lineage: Eukaryota; Metazoa; Chordata; Actinopteri; Anguilliformes; Anguillidae
Gene name: ribonuclease inhibitor-like
Exons: 2
Source: RefSeq, a predicted model, not a curated record
CACCAUAUGUCCGAUCAACACAAAACUUCAUCGACCGAUGCACCUGAAUGUGCUCUACAACUUUGCUAUUGGGAUUUUAUUUGCCUGCCAUUUGGAUGUUUUUAUUAGUUGCGGCGCGGUAGCACUGUAGCUCCAAAUCCUAAGUGUUACGACAUCUAGUAAACUUCUUUACGGCAAGGGGCUAGAAGCCAUCCAUGGCAACGCAACUCAGUAAUCUGAGACCGUAGGGUCUAGUUUUUAGACCGUACCUUCCAAAAUAGCUGUGCGUAAUACCACACCUGUUUAUGGCGUUGUCGCCGUUUUUAUUCCGUAGGUGAGAGUAUAAGCUUUCUAACGACGUAUAACAUGUCUGAUUUUGCUUUUGGACUAGCGUUUUAUAUGUGAGCGUAACCGAAAAUUUUAUUGUCAUCACAUUCACUUGAGUGUCUUUAAAUAGGUUAGUGGUAUUGCAUAAUAUGGAUAUUUCACACUGUAAGUGUUAGUAUUUCACAGAAGGUAAGCGUUAGUUAUUAGUAAUGUAAUAGUUUUUGUGACACCUACAACAGUGAGGAGUGUGUUGGAACAUUGCCAAAACGUGGUGGACGGUUGAAAAUAGUUUUCAUAUCGUCCCAUCUUCACACAAUGUUUCAUCUUAAGCCUUCAUGAGGGGUUCAUUUCAAUGCUUUACAAUGGACAAAAAGCAUUAUAUUACUUUUUGGAGAGAUUUUGGAUAUGAUAUCUGUCUGUGAAUGUGCAUGCUCUGCUAAGCUGUAAGCGAAUGAAAUGUGGGGAAAACCAGAGAUAUAGUCAGCUGCUACUCAGAGAAGUAUAACGAAAGCAUACUGGUAGAUGUAAAAUAAAGUGAAAGGCUACGGCGGGUAUCUGCGUAAAUGCGUGUGCAUUGCUUUCCACAAACGUAUGCCUUCCCUAUGAAUGCAACAAAUAAAAAUAUUGGAAUGAUGUUGAAGAAAAGAUAGUAUGCAGCAGCACAAACUAUAUAAUAGCUUCAUAGUUAGGCUAUAGGUUUUGCCAUCGCUUAGGACGACAACAAAUAACGUUGCAGAGGUGAGGACAUGCCAUAGCUAGGUAGCUAUGAGUGGAAUGGAGACGAUUUGAGGACAUCUAUAGGUGAAGUGUGUGAAGAUUAUUUCUCCAAUCAGCUUCUACCUUUUCCUAGUUUGAAAGUCAGUGGCCUCUGGGAAAAAUCCCAGCAUUCUCAGCGUCGAUAAAAGCCCAAGGCUUCCUGCCUGCCAUUUCACUUUUGGGUAGCUACUUAAGCAAGCGCCUUCGUUUGAGGUAGUUUUCCUUGUGAAACCAUUAUAUCUCUCGUCAUUGAAUUAAAAAGCAAAUAAUAAACAUUGAUAGUCAAAUUUAUAUUAAAACAUUUGUUUAUUAAGGCAAUUGGAAUCGACACGUUAACAAACGACCACAGUUUUAAUUGAAGACCAGCGUUGACAAACCAGGCCUGGGCCAUGGCAGGGUGUGGCUCACGUCAUAAAGUCCGCCAAUGGCCUGUUUCAGACAUCACUGGGCAUCAGCUCAAGACUGUGUUUCCUGACAAUUGUCACGCCAAUGAGAAAGAG